This 367-nucleotide ribosomal RNA is filed under the name Bifidobacterium breve. RNAcentral's name for it is "partial 23S ribosomal RNA". It matches the Rfam family "Bacterial large subunit ribosomal RNA", at positions 455 to 824 of the family's 2925-position model. Lineage: Bacteria; Bacillati; Actinomycetota; Actinomycetes; Bifidobacteriales; Bifidobacteriaceae. The record is from RNAcentral.
GUGGGAUAAGCCUAAAUAUUCCUGUCUGACCGAUAGCGAACGAGUACCGUGAGGGAAAGGUGAAAAGUACCCCGGGAGGGGAGUGAAACAGUCUCUGAAACCAUGCGCCUACGAACCGUCGGGGCCCCCUUGUGGGGUGACGGCGUGCCUAUCGAAAAAUGAGUCUGCGAGUCAGUGGCAUGUGGCGAGCAUAACCCGUGUGGGGUAUGCGUAGCGAAGGCGAGUCUUAAAAGGCGUUUGAGUCGCGUGUCCUGGACCCGAAGCGGGAUGAUCUAGCCCUGAGCAGGUUGAAGCGCGGGUAAGACCGUGUGGAGGACCGAACCCACCUGGGUUGAAAACCGGGGGGAUGACUUGGGGCUAGGGGUGA